This 465-nucleotide ribosomal RNA is filed under the name Vreelandella stevensii. RNAcentral describes it as "partial 16S ribosomal RNA". It matches the Rfam family "Bacterial small subunit ribosomal RNA", at positions 338 to 795 of the family's 1533-position model. Lineage: Bacteria; Pseudomonadati; Pseudomonadota; Gammaproteobacteria; Oceanospirillales; Halomonadaceae. The record is from RNAcentral.
CCUACGGGAGGCAGCAGUGGGGAAUAUUGGACAAUGGGGGGAACCCUGAUCCAGCCAUGCCGCGUGUGUGAAGAAGGCCCUCGGGUUGUAAAGCACUUUCAGUGAGGAAGAACGCCUGGUGGUUAAUACCCAUCAGGAAAGACAUCACUCACAGAAGAAGCACCGGCUAACUCCGUGCCAGCAGCCGCGGUAAUACGGAGGGUGCGAGCGUUAAUCGGAAUUACUGGGCGUAAAGCGCGCGUAGGUGGCUUGAUAAGCCGGUUGUGAAAGCCCCGGGCUCAACCUGGGAACGGCAUCCGGAACUGUCAAGCUAGAGUGCAGGAGAGGAAGGUAGAAUUCCCGGUGUAGCGGUGAAAUGCGUAGAGAUCGGGAGGAAUACCAGUGGCGAAGGCGGCCUUCUGGACUGAAACUGACACUGAGGUGCGAAAGCGUGGGUAGCAAACAGGAUUAGAUACCCGAGUAGUC